Molecule: ribosomal RNA, 422 nt
Filed under: uncultured archaeon
Lineage: Archaea
Description: partial 16S ribosomal RNA
Rfam family: Archaeal small subunit ribosomal RNA
Source: RNAcentral
CUACGGGAUGCUGCAGUCAAGAAUCUUUUACAAUGCGCGAAAGCGUGAUAGAGCGAGCCAGAGUGUCUUGCAAUCGCAAGACUUUUGUUAAAUUUAAAUCGUUUAACGAAUAAGGACUGGGUAAGACGAGUGCCAGCCGCCGCGGUAAUACUCGCGGUCCAAGUCGCAGCCAUUUUUAUUGGGUCUAAAACAAUCCGUAGCUGGCUAAGCAAGUCUUCUGUGAAAUUCUAACUCUUAAAGUUGGAGCGGGCAGAAGGUACUACUUAGCUAGAGACUGGAAGGCGUAGCGAGUACGUUUAAAGUAGCAGUAAAAUGUUUUAAUCUUAAACGGACUAACAAUAGCGAAGGCACGUUACGAGGACAGUUCUGACAGUAAGGGAUGAAGGCUAGGGGCGCAAAACGGAUUAGAUACCCGAGUAGUC